CCUACGGGUGGCAGCAGUGGGGAAUAUUGCACAAUGGGGGAAACCCUGAUGCAGCGACGCCGCGUGAAGGAAGAAGUAUUUCGGUAUGUAAACUUCUAUCAGCAGGGAAGAAAAUGACGGUACCUGUCUAAGAAGCCCCGGCUAACUACGUGCCAGCAGCCGCGGUAACACGGAGGGGGCAAGCGUUCUCCGGAUUUACUGGGUGUAAAGGGAGCGUAGGCGGUUUAGCAAGUCAGAAGUGAAAGCCCGGGGCUCAACUCCGGGACUGCUUUUGAAACUGUUGGACUGGAGUGCAGGAGAGGUAAGUGGAAUGCCUAGUGUAGCGGUGAAAUGCGUAGAUAUUAGGAGGAACACCAGUGGCGAAGGCGGCUUACUGGACUGUAAAUGACGCUGAGGCUCGAAAGCGUGGGGAGCAAACAGGAUUAGAUACCCCUGUAGUC
Molecule: ribosomal RNA, 440 nt
Filed under: uncultured bacterium
Lineage: Bacteria
Description: partial 16S ribosomal RNA
Rfam family: Bacterial small subunit ribosomal RNA
Source: RNAcentral